UACAGAGGUCCCAAGCGUUGUUCGGAUUCACUGGGCGUAAAGGGUGCGUAGGCGGUCGGGUAAGUCUGAUGUGAAAUCUCCAAGCUCAACUUGGAAAUGGCAUCGGAUACUAUUCGGCUCGAGAAAUGGAGGGGAGACUGGAAUACUUGGUGUAGCAGUGAAAUGCGUAGAUAUCAAGUGGAACACCAGUGGCGAAGGCGAGUCUCUGGACAUUUCCUGACGCUGAGGCACGAAAGCCAGGGGAGCAAACGGG
RNAcentral lists this ribosomal RNA (253 nucleotides) under uncultured bacterium. RNAcentral describes it as "partial 16S ribosomal RNA". It matches the Rfam family "Bacterial small subunit ribosomal RNA", at positions 524 to 776 of the family's 1533-position model. The record is from RNAcentral.